The sequence is a ribosomal RNA, 440 nucleotides long. It matches the Rfam family "Bacterial large subunit ribosomal RNA", at positions 155 to 546 of the family's 2925-position model.
CUACUGAAUACAUAGGUAGUGGGAGGGAACGCGGGGAAGUGAAACAUCUCAGUACCCGUAGGAAGAGAAAACAAAAGUGAUUCCGUGAGUAGUGGCGAGCGAAAGCGGAGGAUGGCUAAACCGUAUGCAUGUGAUACCGGGUAGGGGUUGUGUGUGCGGGGUUGUGGGACCUGUUUUUCCAGUUCUACCCGACUGGAGGGUAGUGAGAAAAUGUCGUGGUUAACGGAAAUGGUUUGGGAUGACCUGCCGUAGACGGUGAGAGCCCGGUACGUGAAAACCUGACAUCUACCUUAAUGGUGUUCCCGAGUAGCAGCGGGCCCGUGAAAUCUGCUGUGAAUCUGCCGGGACCACCCGGUAAGCCUGAAUACUUCCCAGUGACCGAUAGCGGAUUAGUACCGUGAGGGAAUGGUGAAAAGUACCCCGGGAGGGGAGUGAAAUAG